RNAcentral lists this ribosomal RNA (411 nucleotides) under uncultured bacterium. RNAcentral's name for it is "bacterial SSU rRNA". It matches the Rfam family "Bacterial small subunit ribosomal RNA", at positions 355 to 765 of the family's 1533-position model. The record is from RNAcentral.
UCGAGAAUCUUCGGCAAUGGGCGAAAGCCUGACCGAGCGACGCCGCGUGCGGGAUGAAGGCCCUCGGGUUGUAAACCGCUGUCAGUGGGGAGGAAGGCUCUGUGAAGAGCAGGGUUUGACCUAUCCGCAGAGGAAGUCCGGGCUAAGUUCGUGCCAGCAGCCGCGGUAACACGAACCGGACAAACGUUAUUCGGAAUCACUGGGCUUAAAGGGUGCGUAGGCGGCCUGACAAGUUGGGUGUGAAAUCCCUCGGCUCAACCGAGGAAUUGCGCUCAAAACUGUUGGGCUCGAGGGAGUUAGAUGUAAGCGGAACUUAGGGUGGAGCGGUGAAAUGCGUUGCUCUCCUAAGGAACACCAGUGGCGAAAGCGGCUUACUGGAGCUCUUCUGACGCUGAGGCACGAAAGCUAGGG